RNAcentral lists this ribosomal RNA (465 nucleotides) under uncultured bacterium. Its description in RNAcentral is "partial 16S ribosomal RNA". It matches the Rfam family "Bacterial small subunit ribosomal RNA", at positions 28 to 507 of the family's 1533-position model. The record is from RNAcentral.
GACGAACGCUGGCGGCGUGCUUAACACAUGCAAGUCGAACGGAAAGGCCCUGCUUGCCGGGUACUCGAGUGGCGAACGGGUGAGUAACACGUGGGUGAUCUGCCCUGCACUUCGGGAUAAGCCUGGGAAACUAGGUCUAAUACCGGAUAGGAGCCAUUUUUAGUGUGAUGGUUGGAAAGUUUUUUCGGUGUAGGAUGAGCUCGCGGCCUAUCAGCUUGUUGGUGGGGUAAUGGCCUACCAAGGCGGCGACGGGUAGCCGGCCUGAGAGGGUGGACGGCCACAUUGGGACUGAGAUACGGCCCAGACGCCUACGGGAGGCAGCAGGGGGGAAUAUUGCACAAUGGGCGCAAGCCUGAUGCAGCGACGCCGCGUGGGGGAGGACGGCCUUCGGGUUGUAAACUCCUUUCGCUAGGGACGAAGCUUUUUGUGACGGUACCUAGAUAAGAAGCACCGGCUAACUACGUG